Molecule: ribosomal RNA, 1747 nt
Filed under: Triticum aestivum (bread wheat)
Lineage: Eukaryota; Viridiplantae; Streptophyta; Magnoliopsida; Poales; Poaceae
Description: partial small subunit ribosomal RNA
Source: RNAcentral
AGCUCCCACUAAACCUCCCGUGGUCUUCCCUCUAGUAUAGUAUAAAAGAUAGUAACAAGAGACCUAGAAGAGGAAAAGUCUAUUCGUUGGUGUGUAAAGAUAGUUCCUUAAGUAUAUAGAAUGCAAAGUAACGUAUACGACAAUAUCCGUACACGACAACGUCUUUUAAACAAAGACUCUGUGUGGCCAAUGAUAUUAAUGCACCACACCGCCCUACACCUCAUAUCUCUACGGCACCCAAUCUCCUACCGGCGCCCUAUUCGGCCUUUCCGACUCGGCUCCUCUUCCUCGUGAGUCGAUACCACAGACCACAUCCCUACCCUCAUCCUAGACGCACUCCUCCUCCCCCGCGUGUAGUACCGAAGCUUCCAGUGCGGAUCUGCCGCAGAUGGGGACAGUAGGUGGGCGUGACUAUUUCACGUACAAAGAGUCCUCUGUGUUUGACAUCAAUUAAGGCUUCCUCUUAUCGUUGAAAACGAAAACGAUCCACGUUAUAUAGAAACCACAAUAACUUAGAAAUUGGUUCUAUACCGACCUCCGACCUCGUCUGAUUAGGAUUAGCUUAACCAGUAGAGUGAAAUAUCCACCUCAUUAACCACUCUAAAAAGGACAGAGAACAUCAACAUAAAAUGAAAGGUCUUUUAGACGUACUACCAUGAGUUUUAAAUACUUACCAAAAUAACCGUACAGUGCAACACCUGGCUCUACUACAAGUCAUCUGAGGGAGUAGUGGAACGGUCACGAUACCUAGCGAGUGUCGAACUUAGACUUACACGAAGAAGGCCAGAUACGAGGGAGAGAAACCAAGUAACCGGAGGGUUUUGAUGAAACAUUUAACACCUACAGUUACAGUCAAGAAGACGACGUUUCAACCCCUUUCUUAACAUCACUUUUAGUUCAAAACAGGCUCGUGUGUUGUAGUCGCUGCACUACUACUUCGUUACCGUAACAGACCGAUAAGUAUGUUAAGAUAUCUUCUACGUUACCUGCAAGGUCGACGAGCUCAUUACUUUAUAUACCUCUGGCACGCACGGUUCCAUAACUUUCUGAUAUCAAUGUUGUUCGACGUUGUUUCCUUUCUCUUGACAUAGACUAACCAAACAAUCCUGUUUCUUUUUCUUUAGUUUCUUGUCCGAGACUUCUAAUCUCUUGAAUCGUUCCUGAAACGUCUGAUGAAUAUAGUCCAAUUUUCGUGAAGACUCUAAGUGGCGGGUCGAUUUCCUUCACAUACGAGUCGGUUAAGGUAUUCACCAGCGCUCGAGUUCUUUCGCCGAUAUCUAUAAGUGUUACGUUAACGAGUAGAACCGGUCAACUCACUUUUGUUUUUUACGUCCAUUAGGUUUUGUGUAGCCAUAUAGGUAAAUCCUCUCCUAGAUAAAGGUGCCGGAUACACGGAAGUCUUCUACGGCUAUGAUGGUCGAUGUCAUCGGAAGAGACUUAUAGUUGACUAAUGGAAACAGAACUCUUCUAGUGACGGUAUCAAGUAGACGGUCAGAAAGGUCUCGAAGAAGAUAGUGCAACUACCUGAAACUUGAAUUCGAUAGGGGCCGAUACAUACAAUCAUCGAUACCGUUAACGUACAUAUCUAAUUUGGUAGUCGAUGCAAGAUACAACGCACCGUUACGGUCAUCAGGGAGUUACAUUAUACGUCGGCGAAUAAUACAUAAAGGACGCUUGUAUACAAGUAAUAAUUAUUUGGAUGGUACGUAACAUUAUAUAUUGCGAUACAUACUUGUAGUAUAGAUUC